GCAUUUAGUAGAGAUAGGGAAAGAGGGAACUGACCGUAGACAAAGGAAAGCAAAAUCAAUACUACAGCUUAUGACUAAAACUGAGCAGAUUCCAUACUGACAUUGCAAAGUCCAAUAAUGUACUUACUGACUUAGCUGGAAUUGCAUAUCCUUGUAAAUUAUCAAUCUUUUUGUUUUCCUCUUUUAUUUCUUGUGAGUCAAACAGUCGAGGUUGUGUAUACUAAAAUAUCCGAAAAUGCCACACUUGGUUUUCAACCUGUAUUCUCUUAUAUGUUUUGUUCAUGUAUAAAAAUGUUUUUGUUUAGGCGGUAUAAUUUUCUUACGAAAGCGAGUCAAUUCAUUGCACGUGUUUCCGCAUUAACUGUUUGCUUUGCAUUGCAGGAAUAAAUAACAGCUUAUGACUAAAGCUGAGCAGAUUCCAUACUGACAUUGCAAAGUCAAAAAAUGUACUUACUGACUUAGCUGCAAUUGUAUAUCCUUGUAAAAUUUCGAUCUUUUUGAUUUUCUCUUUUUUAUUUCUUGUGAAUCAAACAGACGAGAUUGUGUAUACUGUACAGUGGUGGAGCCAGGAUUUUUAACAAGGGGAUUCAAAAAUAUCCAAAAAUGCCACACUUGGUUUUCAACCUGUA
Molecule: long non-coding RNA, 629 nt
Filed under: Nicotiana benthamiana
Lineage: Eukaryota; Viridiplantae; Streptophyta; Magnoliopsida; Solanales; Solanaceae
Description: long non-coding RNA (NBEN_LNC039555)
Source: RNAcentral